This is a long non-coding RNA of Mauremys mutica (yellowpond turtle), 698 nucleotides long. RefSeq lists it as uncharacterized. The transcript is spliced from 3 exons. The record is from RefSeq and is a predicted model, not a curated record. NCBI's taxonomy places the organism in Eukaryota, Metazoa, Chordata, Testudines, Geoemydidae.
UGCAUUUUGCAGCAGGAAUUUGCUGGUCCUGAUUAUGAACUCAUCUGUGGUCUUACUAGAUGAUGCAGGUAAUACAGGGACAAGUAGCAUCCCACUGAAGAUCACCUAAUCCUCCAUUUCUUUAAGCAUCUUCCUGAGUCUGGUGUAGUCUUCCUUCAUGCAUUCCAUCAAGAAUACAGCUGUAUCACCCCCAAAGAUAGUGGAGGAGAAGGCAUGUACCACCAAGGCUGGGAGGAUUGCAGCCUCUGCUCCUAGGAGUAAAUGUUGCAGUGAUUGGUGACUCUCUUCCAGGAGGGGGAUGGAGGCACCUGUCUGUUGGCGAGACAUGGCAUUCUGGGAGUGUUGGGAGAAAUAUAUAUCCAAAUAUAUUGUGAUUCAAUGUUAUAGGUCAUUGAGGCCUGGUAUGAAUGACACAUGCUUGACAUGAAUGUGUGCGUUGCAAGUUAGCAACUGAAACAAGGUCAAGGACUAUUAGAACUCUGUGCAAGAACAAUCUUACGUUCCGAGAAAAGUACAGAAAAUCAUCAGAAAAGGAAAUAACACCAGCUGGACUGAUAUAAAAUUGUAUAAGAAUUGGAGGAAAUUGCAUGCUUUGGAUCAUAGUGACCCACCCAAGACUGUCUCUUUGGAAUUGUGUGGGUAGAAGGCCUAGUAAACAAAGGCAAAGAACAGAUGAUGCAACAGAAUGAACUAUAAAU